Molecule: long non-coding RNA, 965 nt
Organism: Ruditapes philippinarum (Manila clam)
Lineage: Eukaryota; Metazoa; Mollusca; Bivalvia; Venerida; Veneridae
Exons: 3
Source: RefSeq, a predicted model, not a curated record
AAAUGUGUUUAGUUUGAUGAUUUUGCGGGAGUUGAAAAGUAUUUUCAAUAGAGAAUAGUUGUGCUUAUGAUUUGUUUUAUUUGUUUUAAGGAUUUGGAAUAAGUAUUAUGCACCCAGUCACUGUGUGAAUGAAGUGUUUGUUGAUUGGAGUAGAGUUAAUUAGAUGGUUUGAUAUUGUUUAGAGCAUACAAUUUCACAAAUUGUGUGCUGGACUUGUUAACUAGGUACUCUAGUUGACUGUGAUAGUGUAAUGUGAAACAGAGUGCAGGAACAGUGAUAUAAUGGUUUGAGACAUUUUAAGAGUGAUACAGUGAUUAUUUAUAUUUAUUUGUUUAUCAACAUAAUAACACAGUGAACUAUUAAUAAAUGUAUAUGUGAACCCAAGCCUAUUUGGAUUUGUAAUCUUUUAUUUAGAUACAAAGUAACCAAAGGUAACAUUAGGCCAGUUGUUUUAUCUUGCUGCAAAAACGAUUCGAUGUCUUCAAUAAAUAAGGAAAAAAAUGUCGGCGAAUUUGUCUGCCCCUGACGUAAGUCCACCGCGAUUUCAACAAAAUCAGAAAAUUCAUUAUUAAAUUUUAUACUAGACUUUACAAUAUUGUACAUGUUUCUAAACAUUGUUAAAAUUUUACCAUUUAAUCCUUUUUUGUACAGUUUAAACCACAACGCGUCACGGUUCACCGAAUCAAAUGCUUUUUUCAGAUCAACGAAAGCACAAUACAGACGUUUUUUGUCGUUCAGGCUUUGCUCUAUUAAAUUCUGCAGUACAAAGAUUGCAUCUACGGUACUAUGAUUUUUUCUAAAACCGAAUUGCGCAUCUGGUAAUUUAUUUUGACUCUCACACCACUUAACGACUCGCGCAUCUAAAAUCCCCGUAAACAAUUUACCGAGAUUACUCAAUAACGUUAUACCACGAUAAUUAUUGACGUUAUUCACAUCACCUUUUUUAUGUAGCGGUAUAAUGAAAC